AUGGCACUCACACCAAGGCUGAUGCUGUCCCCUCGGACAGGGCUGGGGCCAUGGAGGUGCUGCCCAGACGUUCCCUUACCAUCGGACUCACCUGGGAAAUGUCCAUUUGGUUCAACUGGGUGCAACUGGAACACAGGCCCUGCAGACCUUGUGCCAGGAGGAGCUACAGAUUCACCUGGUCUGGAGGCAGCAGAACAUGGAAGAUGGAUGUUGGACUUGGAGGCACGCAUAGAAGCAUAAAAAACGCUGAACAAGAAAAACCAAACAACAGAAAGUAAAACCACUGCAAGCACCAAGAACGAAACGAAAAUGAGCACAGCAAAAAAGAUUGUGGCAGCACAAAAGUCAAGAAAAUGCACGUGUGAUCAUGACUGGCCAAUCAUCAACUGAUACAACAUCCAAGAAAAACGCUCCAAUCACAGCACCUCCACGAAACUUGACGGCAAUUGUCAUGCAACCGAUUCUUAGCCUUGUUACAUGACGCCAUCAUGUCACACUGUGAACUUUGAGUUGAUUUGAACUUACGGAUGGGGGACUGUUUUCUCCACUCUCAUGUGAUUACGUGAACUUUAUUCCUAGCUCAGCGCGAGACUGUGGUGGAUUUGACUGGCCCUGGUUGGGUUGUUGGAAUUUGAUUGAAUGACAAAAGAAGAAAAGAUUUAUAUAUAUAUUUAUAUAUGUAGAGAGAGAGAGAGAGAAAGAGAGAGAGGACAAGAGUGUGGGUAAGGGCGGGGAGGAGGAGGAAGGGUGGGAGGGAUCGGGGAUUGUGGGGAGCGGGGUGGGGGGCACAGGGAGAGUCGGGUUGAGGGUGAAGACGGGCAAGGAAGAAGUUAAAACAAAAUUAAAAGGAAAAAUAUUUAUACAGCACCAGACCACAGCAUCAAUCUAAAAGCUCGGAUGAGAGAAUAGCAGUCAAAUCAUAAGAGAACGGAAAAAAACCCAAAAGGAUGGAGGAAGCGGCAGACGAACGACAUGGGCACAUCAACACACACACGCACACGCACGCACGCACACGCACACACGGUUGUUGAUGCAGACAGGUGAUACACUGUGAACAACAGCAGAACCUCACACAGGGCCACUACGGGCAUCCGUCACGCUCCGGGUAACAGGAGGGAGGGCGCAGGCAGUUUGGCGAGGGGGCCAGAAAAAAAGAAAACAGCCCCUCAAACCACCCUGGCCGGCGAGCAGGUCAGGGGAACGGGCUCUCUGCUUUGACCCCCUCCUUGGUUCUUUCUCCCCCAGGGGCUGAGCGUGCCUCACCUCCCCAGCCUUCCUGGCUGCAGCCUGUGGUCAGCAAGGGGAGCCUGACCGGCUGGCUCCCAUUUGCCGGGUGGGUCAGAGGCUGCCUAAGGUGACUGCUGUGUCUGGGGGUCCGUCUGGGAAACACUCAGCUGCCCGGGACGGUCCACACUCACGACAACCCGGCCUCCCACCCUGUCCCGGGCCCGCAGUGGCCACCGUCCCCAGGGAAGGGCUUCCCCGCUAAGAGCACCAAGAGGCUGCGGGAGGCCACGGGCCUGCCCCCUGCCGCCCAGCUUCGGCCCUCGGUCCUCAGAACCUUCAGAAAACGAGCACUCUCAGUUGUGAGAUUUAGAGUCCAUCACGGCAGUGUUCUCGGAAUUCUACAAACACGCCCUGGCACAGCUGAUUUCGUGUUUCACGGCUGCCUUACUCACUCUGCUUUGCUCCCAAGGGGGCCCAAAGUGAGGUGGGGUCCUGGCACGUGAAGCCUUUGGGAGGCUUCAAAGCUCUGACCCAGGAAAGGGUCACGGGGGAGGCUAGGGCACCCUGGAGGGUAAGUCGCAGGGAAAAGGAGAGUCCACUGGAGAGGGGCAGCUAUGGGCCUGGCUCCCUACCGGUCCCUGCGGCUGUCACCCUGCUCCUCUGCUUCUCCCCUACCCCUGCCUCCCCCUUCUUGGCUCCUUCACACCCUACAUCCCCCCACAUACAGCUUUCUAGACUGACCCUUCUCACUGUCUUCUUUACUGAUGGAGCCCUAACUGGUGCAGGCUGAGAUCCCCCUCUCGGAAGCACCAUCCAGUUAUUCCAAUUUGAGUUGUCUUGAACACGCUUCAUUCACCAUUUGGGGUCCUCUGCCCCCACCCAGGGCCCUGGGGGUCCCCAGCCCCACCCCCUCCUCCUGGUUACCCCUGAGCUUGCCCCUCAGUCCCUGGUCACCUGCAGCACCCCGGCCUGUGCCAAGCCUAUGCACCAGGCUGGUCUCCAAUGUCCCCGGCUUCUACCCACAGUGGCUCCUGCUCUCAGCUUUGGGUUUUCCCUCAGGCCGUGUGGAAGGGAAGCCUGAGACUGUGACGUGUCACUGCAGAUAAGAUACAACAUAGCUGAGAGGUGACGAUUCGAAGCCUAAAUCUGGCCCCCGGCUCUGCCUUCUCUGAGGAGCCUGGGCCUCUCUACCUGCACAGAGCCCGGCCCUGCCUGCCGUCCGGCUGUUCCUGCAGCAGAUUCCCUCCCUGAGACCAGGGCCCACCAAGGCCCGCCUGCAGCCCCAGCCCCUCCACAAGGAAAAUCCGCAGACCCACCACCCGUGAGAGCCAACUGGCAGGCCCGUGGGGCGGGAGAAGAGGCCUCAGAACUGAGGGUCAAAAGGGACUCCUAGUUG
Molecule: long non-coding RNA, 2623 nt
Filed under: Bos grunniens (domestic yak)
Lineage: Eukaryota; Metazoa; Chordata; Mammalia; Artiodactyla; Bovidae
Description: lncRNA (ENSBGRG00000015220.1)
Source: RNAcentral